Long non-coding RNA from Papilio xuthus (Asian swallowtail), 712 nucleotides. RefSeq lists it as uncharacterized. The transcript is spliced from 2 exons. Lineage: Eukaryota; Metazoa; Arthropoda; Insecta; Lepidoptera; Papilionidae. The record is from RefSeq and is a predicted model, not a curated record.
CCUUCUAACAUUCAUGCAUCCAUCUAAACUUUCGCAUUUAUAACAUUAGUAAGACGCUAUUCUUAUCGUUGCAUAAAGUGUUCGAGGACGAGGACGGGCGUACAAGCGGCCUCACAGAAAUGCAUUCACGAGCACGCACGAGAACCACUCGAGGCACAUUUCGAAUACAUCCUGUAGCGGACUAGCGCUUCUAUACCGACAUCUCCUUGUGUAUUACAAAUAUUAUUUGAAUACACUGGAUAACAAUUACACAUAUUCACAUGAUAAGUAAAGAAAUUAAAAUCCCUGUUCAUAUUAUUAAGCUUAAAAACAACGUCAUAAGUAUUGUAACGAUGUGACUAUAAAUAAAUAAUAUACAUGGUGAUAUCCUGUGGAAAAUAAUGAACAAAACGAGUAAUAAGUCUGGGCAUAAUUUAGGAAGUUUGUAUGAAAGUUCUUUCUUAAGGCGCAAAAGGAGUGCAUGAGCAAGGUAACGUCGGCGGCGGUAAACAUCGUCAUAAAGGCUGCACUGUGACUCCGCACGCCGCCAGGUUGAAGCAGCUGCUGUAGCUCUCUAUGGAGUUAUUAAUAUUGAAGCAUGUUGCGACCCGGGUAAAUACACCCAAUGACGCGUACCCACAAUAUCAGAUUCAGUACAAUCUUAAAGCACCACCAACCUUAUAUUCCAUUAUUAGUGUUUUGUUUUUAACUUUCUUGCUAUCCAAAAUGUUAA